Molecule: ribosomal RNA, 253 nt
Filed under: uncultured bacterium
Lineage: Bacteria
Description: partial 16S ribosomal RNA
Rfam family: Bacterial small subunit ribosomal RNA
Source: RNAcentral
GACGUAGGGCGCGAGCGUUGUCCGGAUUUAUUGGGCGUAAAGAGCUCGUAGGCGGUCUGUCGCGUCGGAUGUGAAAACUCGGGGCUCAACCCCGGGCCCGCAUUCGAUACGGGCAGACUAGAGUACGGCAGGGGAGACUGGAAUUCCUGGUGUAGCGGUGAAAUGCGCAGAUAUCAGGAGGAACACCGGUGGCGAAGGCGGGUCUCUGGGCCGAAACUGACGCUGAGGAGCGAAAGCGUGGGGAGCAAACAGG